This 554-nucleotide ribosomal RNA is filed under the name Russula sp. VH-2016d. Its description in RNAcentral is "partial 12S small subunit ribosomal RNA". It matches the Rfam family "Bacterial small subunit ribosomal RNA", at positions 359 to 952 of the family's 1533-position model. Lineage: Eukaryota; Fungi; Basidiomycota; Agaricomycetes; Russulales; Russulaceae. The record is from RNAcentral.
GAAUAUUAGUCAAUGCUCGAAAGAGUGAACUAGCUAACUGAAAUCAAUUAUAAUAAUUGAUAACAUAAGGGAAAAUAAUGAUAUUACCUUAUUAUUAGUGUCGUCCAAAUCUGGUGCCAGAAGACUCGGUAAGGCCAGAGACACAAACGUUAAUCGUCUUAAUCAGGCGUAAAGGGUUUGUAGGCGGCUUUAAAAUUUACUUAAAAAAAAUAAAUACAAAAAAUAAGUAAAAAAUAAAAGCUAGAAUCAAAUAGAGGAUAUAUGAAAGAAUGCUUAGAGUAGGUCUGAUAUCCUUAGAUACUAAGUAGAAUAUUAAAGGCGAAAGCUUUUUUCCAUUAAUGAUUGACGCUCAGAAACGAAGGUGAGGAUAGGAAAUAGGAUUAGAUACCCAAAAUACCCCUCUCUGUCAACGAUGAAUGGUAGUUAUUAGUAAAAAUUUAUUAAUGGCAAUGUUAACACGAUAACCAUUCCGCCUUGUGAGUACAACUGCAAAGUUGAAAACAAAAAAAUUAGUCGGUUUCGGAGCAAACGAAGUGAAGCAUGUUAUUUAAUUC